Cyprinus carpio carpio is the source of this 445-nucleotide long non-coding RNA. NCBI's taxonomy places the organism in Eukaryota, Metazoa, Chordata, Actinopteri, Cypriniformes, Cyprinidae. The record is from Ensembl.
AUGAGAAGACGGAGGAAGGGAGAUAUGUAAAACUAACAAGAUAUAUCAGUCAUCUGCGGUAUUUGUUGAAGCUGAGGAUUGCAUUGGACUGUUAGGACAGCUGAGAAGACUACUGGUGUGCACCUACCCAACCUCCAGGACUUGUACAUCUCCAGACUAAAGAAACAUGCAGGCCAUCUCCACCUUGAACAUCUAGCACACCUACAAAUCUAUAGCCUUAUGGUGUUUAUGCCACCUGGGCAUUAGACAAUAGAAUACUACUCAUGAAAAUGCAUAUUUAUAUUUAUACAGAUGUAUAUACAGUACUUAAUACGUGCAUAUUUACAUAUGCCUUCUGCCUACCUUCUUUGCCUUGUUUUUUUUUUUUUUUUUUUAUAGUUGACAGAUAUUGAACUGGAAAAAAGCUUAUUAAUGUGGUCCAUGAGGUGAAUGAAUUACAAUAGGU